UGUCUCUGGCUCGUCUUGGCCGUGGACCUCGCCUCUGGCUCGUCUUGGCCGUGGACCUUGUCUCUGGCUCGUCUUGGCCCUGGACCUCGCCUCUGGCUCGUCUUGGCCGUGGACCUUGUCUCUGGCUCGUCUUGGCCGUGGACCUUGUCUCUGGCUCGUCUUGGCCGUGGACCUCGCCUCUGGCUCGUCUUGGCCGUGGACCUCACCUCUGGCUCGUCUUGGCCGUGGACCUCGCCUCUGGCUCGUCUUGGCCGUGGACCUCACCUCUGGCUCGUCUUGGCCGUGGACCUCGCCCUCACCCGUCUUCUGGCCGUGGACUCUCGUCUCAGGCUCUCUCUUCGGCCGUGGACCUCGUCUCUGGCUCGUCUUGGUCAGAGUUCUCACUCUGCUUUAAAGACGCAGUCCACCUUAAAAAACACCCAUGGAGGAUUGUUUAGGAACUAAAUCCGUUCUCCCUUAAAUCAGGAGCAAAAAAAUAAUUCAACUCAAUAAAAGAUAAAAUUAAUAAAAUAAAUAUUACGAAAUGUUUAUGUUUGAAAUGAAGAAAAACAAAUGGAUUCAAGUCUUUAAUUCCUGAGUUUGUUUAGGUUUAUAUAUAUCUUUAAUUACUUACGCUUGUGACUUUAAGUAGAUGUACUUUGAGGUAUUUUUUUUAACUGAAGUGGUUUGUCUCAUAUUUAUAACAAUGUGGAAACAAUGUGGAAAGAAAAAAAAGUCAAAUUAGUUAAAAACAAAUAACUGCCAGAAUUUAAAUUAAAUUAAAAUUUAAAUAAAUUUAAUUAAAGAAAAUAUAACUAAAGAAUUAUCAUUAAUUAAUUAAUUAAUUAGCAGAAUUAAAGAAAAAAAUAGCUGAAUCAAAUUAGCUAAAAACAGACAAAAGAAAAACAAUUGCCAGGAUUAGCCCGUUUGCUGUUGCUAAAGGGUUGACGGCAGAAUGAAACACCUUCUUUGAACUGUUGUAACCCUUUGACCGUUUUCACAAUUCUGUUCGAUUCGAUGACGAGCCGGAGGCGUGGUCCACAGCCGGAGGCAGGAGCGCAGAGGGCCUCCGCUCACACGCAAGAAUCAAUCUCCAGCCGGAAGCGGAAGUUUCCUAAACUUUAGGAAACCCUUUGAAAAUGUUUUAAGACCUUUUCAGAAUCAGCUUUUAAGCUUUAAAUGUAAAUAAACUGUGACUGUUACAGUUUAGAGUGAAGACGAGCUUCAAACGGGACAGGGAACCGUCAUCGUUUGAUUUCUGUAAAGUCAGUUUUAGCAAGAGAUUAAAAAUGUUUAGCUACACCGGUUUACCUCCGGAGAAAAAGCAGAAAACAUGAGGUUUACAUAAGCGGUUACGGAAUGUCAAAGGGAAAAAAGGUCGAAAGCUUGAGACGGGGGGGUCCAGAAAAGGAUUUCUGACCAAUAAUUUUGGGCGCAAAUUAUGCCGGCUCCGG
This 1433-nucleotide long non-coding RNA is filed under the name Oryzias javanicus (javanese ricefish). RNAcentral describes it as "lncRNA (ENSOJAG00000005920.1)". The record is from RNAcentral. Lineage: Eukaryota; Metazoa; Chordata; Actinopteri; Beloniformes; Adrianichthyidae.